Molecule: small RNA, 27 nt
Filed under: Arabidopsis thaliana (thale cress)
Lineage: Eukaryota; Viridiplantae; Streptophyta; Magnoliopsida; Brassicales; Brassicaceae
Description: ATSL150650
Source: RNAcentral
AUAUUCUUAUCGUUCGUCCUGUUCAUA